Molecule: long non-coding RNA, 919 nt
Filed under: Nicotiana tabacum (common tobacco)
Lineage: Eukaryota; Viridiplantae; Streptophyta; Magnoliopsida; Solanales; Solanaceae
Description: long non-coding RNA (NTAB_LNC014817)
Source: RNAcentral
UGGUAUUACAAAUAUUGGAACUCCACAGCACUCCAAGCCACAAAUCCUAAAAUGUAUCAAAAGAAUAAAGAAACACUUUGCAAAAAACAAAUAUCAAUGUGUCUGCUAUUCUGCCCUUUAUACACAAUCAUCAGAGCCCAUUCUCUGCUUCUCCAACUCAAAAAUCUUCGUCGUCAAUGACCAAAUUGCCAGGAGAUAAAGAUACCCUUGUUCCUUCUCUCCCUGAGUUUGAGCUCUAUUUCAUUUUCAUACAACCUUUUCUACACUGAAGCCACAUAAUGCUUCCUAUUUCUUAUGCUUACUCGCAGUCCAACCCGCACACUUCUAGAACAAGUCCACCUCUUGCCGUGAAUGGGUUGACUCGAACCCACAAUAAGGAAAAGAUAGAUGCCAGAAGGAUAGACCAGACAACAAUGAUGGUUGGAACUUUAUUUUGUCUGCCCAUCACACCUUUGAGGAAGGGAUAUAGAUGAACAAUGACCCAUAAGGCGAAGAAAAGCCUACCGAAUAGAGGACCCCAAGAAUCAUAACCGUUGUUGAUUGCAUCCGAAAUUCCAACUAUAACUCCAAUANNNNNNNNNNNNNNNNNNNNNNNNNUUUUUAUGUUCGGUUGGUAUUACAAAUAUUGGAACUCCACAGCACUCCAAGCCACAAAAUCCUAAAAUGUAUCAAAAGAAUAAAGAAACNCUUUGCAAAAAACAAAUAUCAAUGUGUCUGCUAUUCUGCCCCUUUAUACACAAUCAUCAGAGCCCAUUCUCUGCUUCUCCAACUCAAAAAUCUUCGUCGUCAAUGACCAAAUUGCCAGGAGAUAAAGAUACCCUUGUUCCUUCUCUCCCUGAGUUUGAGCUCUAUUUCAUUUUCAUACAACCUUUUCUACACUGAAGCCACAUAAUGCUUCCUAUUUCUUAUGCUUACUCGC